CUGUGUGCCCUAAGUCUUUGUUUUGUGUUUAUGAGGAUCAGUAGGUACUUGUAUUAAUAUAUGUGGUGCAUGUGGUGCAGCCUGCAGGGAUAUUUGGAUGAGAGACUUGAAUGAUCCAUGUCUGUUAACAUUGCCGAAAGUAGCUUCCCCUGCCAUCUCGAGGUACCAAAAUAACCCAACGCAACCAUUCAUCAUGCUGUACAUCAGUGGAGCUAGGUAUUCAAAAAUAACAUUUCAUGGGAGCCAACUCAGGUCGCUCCAGUCUACGUUUGAUUAAUCAGUUUGUCUGCCAUCAUUAAUAGAUUACCAAACUUAAAACACAAAUGAAUUUCACAUAAUUCCAAUAGGGUAAUCCUACAACACAAGUAUAAAAACUAAUUAAGACAAUGCAAUAAAUGAACUUUCUCUUGGUGAACGUUUGGCUAGAUCGUAGCAGCAUUCCGUAAGGAAGAGUGAGACGCGUAGUGGUAGAUGGUAGUAUUAAUUAUUGUUCUGACUUGAUCUUGUUGAUAUCGAAGAUAGAUAGAUAGAUAGAUAGAUAGAUAGAUAGGGGCUGGGCGGGCAAACCCAUAUCGAAUUGGCAGCGACGCGACAGUGCCUGUACUGUACUUAAGCUAUUAAUUAAUAAUAAAUACUUUAACACAAGCUGUUGGGCUCAGUUAUAGUGGGCUUUCUAUCCUCAUCUCCUAGCUAACUAACUGGUCAUGUCUCUUUGGUUAUUUCUACCCAUUUCUAUUUAUUGCGAGUUAUCUAAUAUUAUAUAUAAAAACAAACAUUUAGUUACAAAUUGUAAGGAGGACAUUAUUAAUGAAGUGGAAAAUAUCUGAAGUGAAGUUAAAUAAAUAAUAUAGUAGGGAGAUGGAAUUUAUUAAGGGGGUAUGGGGGGAGAUUUAGUGUAAAUGUAGAGUAGGUGGGUGGGGGUCUGGGGGUGAGGAAGGAUGCAUGCAUGACAGGUGUGGUUAGUAGAGUACGUAGCAGUUAAGGAGACGGGAAGAGUGGGUCCGUCGUGGAAGCCAUAGCGGGCUGCGUGCUACUCCAUGCUGUGCUCUCAGACUGAUCGACCGAGAAUCCUUACUCUCUGCCCACCAUCGUUUCUUUUCUCCACAUAUGCAUUUCCACUACGCCAUCUUCAUGGGAUUGCAUUGAUUACCAAGUGAAGAUAGAGAUAUGUAUUAUGAUACAUUAAUUAAUUCUUCCUUGUAGAAUCCGUUUCACUCGACAACAAUCGCUGGGGACUAGGAAGUAGGGCCUUGAAUUGGUUUUGUUUUGGUUCGUGUUUGAUGGGUAACUAGAUGAUGAGCCAUCCACUGGGCCAGGACGGGAUGACAGAUUUCGGAAAAGCCUCAUUGAUCCGUUCAAACACACAUCAAACUUCAACUUGGGCUUAACAUCCAUUUUGGUUGUAAUUUGGGCUUAACAUCCAACUUGGGCUUAACAUCCAACUUGUGUCUAUAGCAGACGGCUUUUUGUAAUCAAACGUGUAAAGGAAGAGUAAUAAGAGAGUGAUAUAAGGGGCAUAAGUGUCUGAG
This 1529-nucleotide long non-coding RNA is filed under the name Linum usitatissimum (flax). RNAcentral's name for it is "long non-coding RNA (LUSI_LNC004686)". The record is from RNAcentral. Lineage: Eukaryota; Viridiplantae; Streptophyta; Magnoliopsida; Malpighiales; Linaceae.